GACGAACGCUGGCGGCGUGCCUAAUACAUGCAAGUCGAGCGGACUGAUUAAGAGCUUGCUCUAAUGACGUUAGCGGCGGACGGGUGAGUAACACGUGGGCAACCUGCCCUGUAGAUCGGGAUAACACCGAGAAAUCGGUGCUAAUACCGGGUAAUAUCUGAGAUCACAUGAUCGUAGGUUAAAAGAUGGCUCCGGCUAUCACUACAGGAUGGGCCCGCGGCGCAUUAGCUAGUUGGUAAGGUAAUGGCUUACCAAGGCGACGAUGCGUAGCCGACCUGAGAGGGGGAUCGGCCACCCUGGGUCUGCGACACGGCCCAGACUCCGCCGGGGUGCAGCAGUAGGGAAUCUUCCGCAAUGGGCGAAAGUCUGACGGAUCAACGCCGCGUGCGUGAUGAAGGGUUUCGGCUCGUCAAGCUCUGUUGUUAGGGAAGAAACAGUACCGAACGAACUAGGUCGGUACCUUGACGGUACCUAACCAGAAAGCCACGGCUAACUACGUG
This 500-nucleotide ribosomal RNA is filed under the name uncultured bacterium. RNAcentral describes it as "partial 16S ribosomal RNA". It matches the Rfam family "Bacterial small subunit ribosomal RNA", at positions 28 to 507 of the family's 1533-position model. The record is from RNAcentral.